UUUCCGUAGGUGAACCUGCGGAAGGAUCAUUAUUGAAACUUGAAUCGUAGCAUUGAGAACUGUUGCUGACCUGUUAAAGGGUAUGUGCACGUUCGACGUGUUGCGUUCUAUUCAUCCACCUGUGCACCUUUGUAGACUUGAUUAACUUUCGCUUCCGAGCGGUUAGAAGGGCUGCUUUCGAGCUCCCUUUGUCUAUCAAGUCUAUGUCUAUAUAAUCUCUUGUAUGUCUAGAAUGUCUUGUUUAUGGGACGCAAGUCCUUUAAAUCUUAUACAACUCUCAACAACGGAUCUCUUGGCUCUC
RNAcentral lists this unclassified non-coding RNA (301 nucleotides) under plant metagenome. Its description in RNAcentral is "partial contains small subunit ribosomal RNA, internal transcribed spacer 1, and 5.8S ribosomal RNA". The record is from RNAcentral.